AUUUUUCAAACAAAAAAAAACUGUUUUAAAUAAAUAUACAGAUAUGUUAUUAUUUUUUUUUUAUUAUCUGUAUAAUUAUUAUUACUAUAUGAAUGUAACUAAGAACUAUAUUUCUAUAACUAAUUUUUUUUUUCUUCUUAAUAAAAAAAAAAUUGAUUUAAAAUAUUCUUUACCCUAUGCAUUAGCACGAAAUGAUAACAAAGAGGAAACAGAAAAAUUGAAUUUGUUUUUAUAUAUUACGGAGCGUAGUGAUGAUAGUACUUUUAUUAGUGCACACGUCAAUGGUGGUGAUAACAUAGUAACAAAAGAAAAAGCGGAUAAACUGAAAAACUGUAAUCGGGACCUAACAUAUAAGAGCAACCCGAACUGUAAUAGCGAUAACAACUUUGGAAUUAAUGACAAAUACAAACGCAACCAUCAAUGCGACACUAAAUACAAUUGGAAAUAUAUUAGCAUAAUUAAUCCUAUGUGCACAUUAUUAUUAAAUAUACCCAUAGAAGAAACACUAAACAGGUACUUUAACAUUUUAGAACUGUGUAUGCUAAAAGGUAUAAACAAAGUAGCCAAUUUUUUUAUUAAUAAGUUAGAAUAUAUAUAUAAUAACAAAAGAUAUAUUAAUGACGUGUUAAGAAAAAAUAUAAAAAUAGUUAAACACAUGUUUUGUGAUGCGGAUAGCGCGAGUGGUACCGUAUGUGAUGACGUUAGUAACGCCACUAAUAAUAACGCAAAAAAAAUACUUCUUAAAGAAAUUGUUUCAAUAAACAUGAUACUCUGUUUGCGUUUACUUUACCUUUUAAUUAACGUAUUAAAAUAUUUUUUAAACUUUGAAAAAAAUAAUACAAAUAAUAAUAACAAGGAGUCCAUUAAACACAAUUUUACUUUUUUGAUGUCUCAUAAAUAUAUUAUUAUUAAGAGCUUAAUGAAAAUAAUCAUAUCAGUCCCCUUCGCACUGAUAAGAUACCUUUGUGUAUCUAUUUUUUAUAUACUGUCAUUUUUUGACUAUAAUUCUUUUAUUUCGAACCCUAUUAUUCAAG
Molecule: long non-coding RNA, 1034 nt
Filed under: Piliocolobus tephrosceles (Ugandan red Colobus)
Lineage: Eukaryota; Metazoa; Chordata; Mammalia; Primates; Cercopithecidae
Description: lncRNA (ENSPTEG00000012977.1)
Source: RNAcentral